AGAGUUUGAUCCUGGCUCAGAGCGAUCGCUGGCGGCAGGCUUAACACAUGCAAGUCGAACGGGCACUUCGGUGUCAGUGGCAGACGGGUGAGUAACACGUGGGAACGUACCUUUUGGUUCGGAACAACUGAGGGAAACUUCAGCUAAUACCGGAUAAGCCCUUACGGGGAAAGAUUUAUCGCCGAAAGAUCGGCCCGCGUCUGAUUAGCUAGUUGGUAGGGUAAUGGCCUACCAAGGCGACGAUCUGUAGCUGGUCUGAGAGGAUGAUCAGCCACAUUGGGACUGAGACACGGCCCAAACUCCUACGGGAGGCAGCAGUGGGGAAUAUUGGACAAUGGGGGCAACCCUGAUCCAGCCAUGCCGCGUGAGUGAUGAAGGCCCUAGGGUUGUAAAGCUCUUUUGUGCGGGAAGAUAAUGACGGUACCGCAAGAAUAAGCCCCGGCUAACUUCGUGCCAGCAGCCGCGGUAAUACGAAGGGGGCUAGCGUUGCUCGGAAUCACUGGGCGUAAAGGGUGCGUAGGCGGGUUUUUAAGUCAGAGGUGAAAUCCUGGAGCUCAACUCCAGAACUGCCUUUGAUACUGGAAAUCUUGAGUAUGGGAGAGGUGAGUGGAACUGCGAGUGUAGAGGUGAAAUUCGUAGAUAUUCGCAAGAACACCAGUGGCGAAGGCGGCUCACUGGCCCAUAACUGACGCUGAGGCACGAAAGCGUGGGGAGCAAACAGGAUUAGAUACCCUGGUAGUCCAA
RNAcentral lists this ribosomal RNA (744 nucleotides) under uncultured bacterium. Its description in RNAcentral is "bacterial SSU rRNA". It matches the Rfam family "Bacterial small subunit ribosomal RNA", at positions 8 to 798 of the family's 1533-position model. The record is from RNAcentral.